Molecule: ribosomal RNA, 101 nt
Filed under: Motiliproteus sp. MSK22-1
Lineage: Bacteria; Pseudomonadati; Pseudomonadota; Gammaproteobacteria; Oceanospirillales; Oceanospirillaceae
Description: partial 23S ribosomal RNA
Rfam family: Bacterial large subunit ribosomal RNA (bases 1-85)
Source: RNAcentral
AAGACCAGGACGUUGAUAGGCUGGGUGUGUAAGCGUUGUGAGGCGUUGAGCUAACCAGUACUAAUUGCUCGUGAGGCUUGACCAUAUAACACCAAAGCGGU